RNAcentral lists this ribosomal RNA (460 nucleotides) under uncultured bacterium. Its description in RNAcentral is "bacterial SSU rRNA". It matches the Rfam family "Bacterial small subunit ribosomal RNA", at positions 62 to 518 of the family's 1533-position model. The record is from RNAcentral.
UCGAACGGGGUUAAGUGAAAUUUCGGAUGGACCUUAACUAGUGGCGGACGGGUGAGUAACGCGUGGAUAACCUGCCUCACACAGGGGGAUAGCAGCUGGAAACGGCUGGUAAUACCGCAUAAGACCACGGCCCCGCAUGGGGUUGUAGUAAAAGAUUUUAUCGGUGUGAAGAUGGAUCCGCGUCUGAUUAGCCAGUUGGCGGGGUAACGCCCACAAAGCGACGAUCAGUAGCCGGCCUGAGAGGGUGAACGGCCACAUUGGGACUGAGACACGGCCCAAACUCCUACGGGAGGCAGCAGUGGGGAAUAUUGCACAAUGGGCGCAAGCCUGAUGCAGCAACGCCGCGUGAGUGAAGAAGUAUUUCGGUAUGUAAAGCUUCUAUCAGCAGGGAAGAAAGGCUCUUCGGAGAGAUGACGGUACCUGACUAAGAAGCCCCGGCUAACUACGUGCCAGCCGCUGC